AGAGUUUGAUCCUGGCUCAGAUUGAACGCUGGCGGCAUGCUUUACACAUGCAAGUCGAACGGCAGCACGGGUGCUUGCACCUGGUGGCGAGUGGCGAACGGGUGAGUAAUGCACCGGAACGUACCCAGUAAUGGGGGAUAACACAUCGAAAGAUGUGCUAAUACCGCAUACGCCCUGAGGGGGAAAGCGGGGGAUCGUAAGACCUCGCGUUAUUGGAGCGGCCGAUGCCGGAUUAGCUAGUUGGUGGGGUAAAGGCCCACCAAGGCGACGAUCCGUAGCUGGUCUGAGAGGACGACCAGCCACACUGGGACUGAGACACGGCCCAGACUCCUACGGGAGGCAGCAGUGGGGAAUUUUGGACAAUGGGGGGAACCCUGAUCCAGCCAUGCCGCGUGAGUGAAGAAGGCCUUCGGGUUGUAAAGCUCUUUCGCAAGGAAAGAAAUCCUAUCCGCUAAUACCGGGUGGGGAUGACGGUACCUUGAUAAGAAGCACCGGCUAACUACGUG
Molecule: ribosomal RNA, 506 nt
Filed under: uncultured beta proteobacterium
Lineage: Bacteria; Pseudomonadati; Pseudomonadota; Betaproteobacteria
Description: bacterial SSU rRNA
Rfam family: Bacterial small subunit ribosomal RNA
Source: RNAcentral